UUUAUAACAAUGAAGAGUUUGAUCCUGGCUCAGGAUGAACGCUAGCGGGAGGCUUAACACAUGCAAGUCGAGGGGCAACACGAGUAUUUAUAUUUGGUGGCGACCGGCGGAUGGGUGAGUAACACGUAUGCAACCUACCAUUUA
RNAcentral lists this ribosomal RNA (144 nucleotides) under Bacteroidales bacterium. RNAcentral's name for it is "partial 16S ribosomal RNA". It matches the Rfam family "Bacterial small subunit ribosomal RNA", at positions 1 to 135 of the family's 1533-position model. Lineage: Bacteria; Pseudomonadati; Bacteroidota; Bacteroidia; Bacteroidales. The record is from RNAcentral.